This 253-nucleotide ribosomal RNA is filed under the name uncultured bacterium. Its description in RNAcentral is "partial 16S ribosomal RNA". It matches the Rfam family "Bacterial small subunit ribosomal RNA", at positions 524 to 776 of the family's 1533-position model. The record is from RNAcentral.
UACGUAGGGUGCAAGCGUUGUCCGGAAUUAUUGGGCGUAAAGGGCGCGUAGGCGGCCACGCACGUCCGUUGUGAAAUCGCCCGGCUCAACUGGGCGGGGUCAGCGGAUACGGUGUGGCUCGAGCAAGCUAGGGGGCAAUGGAAUUCCCGGUGUAGUGGUGGAAUGCGUAGAUAUCGGGAGGAACACCAGUGGCGAAGGCGGUUGCCUGGAGCUUUGCUGACGCUGAGGCGCGAAAGCGUGGGGAGCGAUCCGG